UGGGGAAUUUUGCGCAAUGGGCGAAAGCCUGACGCAGCAACGCCGCGUGGAGGAUGAAUGUCUUCGGAUUGUAAACUCCUUUCAAUAGUGAUGAAAAUGACAGUAGCUAUAAAAGAAGCCCCGGCUAAAUACGUGCCAGCAGCCGCGGUAAUACGUAUGGGGCAAGCGUUAUCCGGAUUUAUUGGGCGUAAAGAGCGCGUAGGCGGAUUAUUAAGCGAGAUGUGAAAACUGGGGGCUCAACCCGCAGCUUGCAUCUCGAACUGGUAGUCUGGAGUUUGGUAGAGGAGUGUGGAAUUCCCAGUGUAGCGGUGGAAUGCGCAGAUAUUGGGAGGAACACCAGUGGCGAAGGCGACACUCUGGGCCAUAACUGACGCUGAGGCGCGAAAGCUAGGGGAGCAAACAGG
Molecule: ribosomal RNA, 404 nt
Filed under: uncultured prokaryote
Also listed under: 1 other name
Description: bacterial SSU rRNA
Rfam family: Bacterial small subunit ribosomal RNA
Source: RNAcentral